This 459-nucleotide ribosomal RNA is filed under the name uncultured bacterium. Its description in RNAcentral is "partial 16S ribosomal RNA". It matches the Rfam family "Bacterial small subunit ribosomal RNA", at positions 338 to 795 of the family's 1533-position model. The record is from RNAcentral.
CCUACGGGAGGCAGCAGUGAGGAAUAUUGGUCAAUGGUCGGGAGACUGAACCAGCCAAGCCGCGUGAGGGAUGAAGGUACAAAGUAUCGUAAACCUCUUUUGUCCGGGAACAACGGCGGGGACGUGUCCCCGGUUGAGUGUACCUGAAGAAAAAGCAUCGGCUAAUUCCGUGCCAGCAGCCGCGGUAAUACGGAGGAUGCGGGCGUUAUCCGGAUUUAUUGGGUUUAAGGGGUGCGCAGGCGGUCUGUAAAGUGAGCGGUCAAAGCCCGGGGCUCAACCCCGGCCCGCCGUUGAAACUGGCAGUCUCGAGUUGGAGAGAAGUAUGCGGAAUGCGCGGUGUAGCGGUGAAAUGCAUAGAUAUCGCGCAGAACUCCGAUUGCGAAGGCAGCAUGCCGGCUCCACACUGACGCUGAGGCACGAAAGCGUGGGUAUCGAACAGGAUUAGAUACCCUUGUAGUC